RNAcentral lists this transfer RNA (72 nucleotides) under Camelus bactrianus (Bactrian camel). It matches the Rfam family "tRNA". Rfam says of the family: Transfer RNA (tRNA) molecules are approximately 80 nucleotides in length. Their secondary structure includes four short double-helical elements and three loops (D, anti-codon, and T loops). RNAcentral also lists the same sequence under 2 other names. The record is from Rfam by way of RNAcentral. Lineage: Eukaryota; Metazoa; Chordata; Mammalia; Artiodactyla; Camelidae.
GAGGGUAUAGCUCAGUGGUAGAAUGUGUGCUUAGCAUACACAAGGUCCUGGGUUCAAUCCCCAGUACCUCCA